AUGGAAUUGGGGUCACUGGGACAGGACUGGGAUCACUGGGACGGAAUUGGGAUCACUUUGGGAUCACUUUGGGAUCACUGGGAUCAAUUUGGGAUCACUGGGAUCAGUUUGGGGUCACUGGGAUCAGUUUGGGGUCACUGGGAUAGACUGGGAUCAAUUUGGGAUCACUGGGAUCAAUUUGGGGUCACUGGGACAGGACUGGGAUCAGUUUGGGGUCACUGGGAUCAGUUUGGGGUCACUGGGAUCAGUUUGGGAUCACUGGGAUCAGUUUGGGAUCACUGGGACAGGACUGGGAUCAGUUUGGGGUCACUGGGAUCAGUUUGGGGACACUGGGAUCAGUUUGGGGUCACUGGGACAGGACUGGGAUCACUGGGACGGAAUUUGGAUCACUUUGGGAUCACUUUGGGAUCACUGGGAUCAAUUUGGGGUCACUGGGAUCAGUUUGGGGUCACUGGGACGGGACUGGGCCGGAAUUUGGGGCCGGAAUUUGGGGUCAGAAUUUGGGGCCGGAAUUUGGAGCAGGAAUUUGGGACUGAGUCAGGAAUUUGGGGCCGGAAUUUGGGGCUGGAAUUUGGGGCCAGAAUUUGGGAUGGGGUCGGAAUUUGGGGUGAGAAUUUGGGAUUGGGGCAGGAAUUUGAGGUCAGAAUUUGGGAUUGGGGCAGGAAUUUGGGGCAGGAAUUUGGGGCCAGAAUUUGGGAUUUGGGGCCGGAAUUUGGGGUCAGAAUUUGGGAUGGGGUCAGAAUUUGGGAUCAGAAUUUGGGAUGGGGUCGGAAUUUGGGGCUGGAAUUUGGGGCCGGAAUUUGGGAUUGGGGCAGGAAUUUGGGGCCAGGAAUUUGGGAUUGGGGAUCCCUGGAAUUCCGAGGGGGAUCAGAAAAUUUGGGGGGGGGAAAUUUUGGGAGGAUUUGGGAUUUUUUUUUUUUUAUGGAAAAAUUUUUGGGUUUUUUUUUUUUCCUGGGAAUUUUUGGGAAUUUUUGGGAGGGUGGGGGGCACCUCAAGGUGAAAGGAGGGGGGCCCCAAAAUUCCCCAAAAAAUUCCCGGUGUCCGUCCCGGGCUUCUCUUUUUUUUUCCGUCCUUUUCAAUCUCUGGGAUUCCCAAAUUUCAGCCCAAAAUACCCCAAAAAAAUCCCAAUUUUCACUCAAGAAAAAUCCCAAUUUUUCCUUUAAAAAAAUCCCAAUUUUCACUCAAGAAAAAUCCCAAUUUUUCCACCUAAAAAGCCCCAAAAAAUCCCAAUUUUCCCUCAAAAAAUACCAAAAAAAAUCCCAAUUUUCCCACCUAAAACCCCCCCCCAAAAAAUCCCAAUUUUCCCCUUAA
This 1311-nucleotide long non-coding RNA is filed under the name Cyanistes caeruleus (blue tit). RNAcentral's name for it is "lncRNA (ENSCCEG00000005323.1)". Lineage: Eukaryota; Metazoa; Chordata; Aves; Passeriformes; Paridae. The record is from RNAcentral.